UGUUUCCUACGGGGCGCAGCAGUGGGGAAUAUUGCACAAUGGGGGAAACCCUGAUGCAGCGACGCCGCGUGAGUGAAGAAGUAACUCGUUAUGUAAAGCUCUAUCAGCAGGGAAGAAACAGACGGUACCUGAGUAAGAAGCCCCGGCUAACUACGUGCCAGCAGCCGCGGUAAUACGUAGGGGGCAAGCGUUAUCCGGAUUUACUGGGUGUAAAGGGAGCGUAGACGGCUGUGCAAGUCUGAAGUGAAAGCCCGUGGCUCAACCGCGGAACUGCUUUGGAAACUGUAUAGCUUGAGUACUGGAGA
Molecule: ribosomal RNA, 305 nt
Filed under: uncultured bacterium
Lineage: Bacteria
Description: bacterial SSU rRNA
Rfam family: Bacterial small subunit ribosomal RNA
Source: RNAcentral